Molecule: ribosomal RNA, 257 nt
Filed under: uncultured bacterium
Lineage: Bacteria
Description: partial 16S ribosomal RNA
Rfam family: Bacterial small subunit ribosomal RNA
Source: RNAcentral
UACGUAGGGGCCUAGCGUUGUCCGGAUUUAUUGGGUACGGUAAGAGCUCGUAGGCGGUUUGGUAAGUCGGGUGAUGAAAUCUCCACGCUCAACGUGGAGGGCCACCGAUACUGCCAUGACUGGAGUCCGGUAGGGAGUGUGGAAUUCCCGGUGUAGCGGUGAAAUGACGCAGAUAUCGGGAGGAACACCAGUAGCGAAGGCGACUACCUGGACCAGCACUGACCACUGAGGCACGGAAAGCGUGGGGAGCAAACAGG